Molecule: long non-coding RNA, 763 nt
Filed under: Cricetulus griseus (Chinese hamster)
Lineage: Eukaryota; Metazoa; Chordata; Mammalia; Rodentia; Cricetidae
Description: lncRNA (ENSCGRG00015042838.1)
Source: RNAcentral
UUUCUGGAGCUCUGAGCCUGCCUCUGCACAUUGUCACCUGCCUUAGGGCCACCCUGGCUGGGGAUGAGGAUGGACGUCCCUGGCAUGUGCUCGGCUUCUGACUCCACACUUAGACACAAGCAAAAGGAUUUGUUUUAGACAAUCGUGAACAAACCAAGAUGAAGCUCUUUCCUGCCAAACUAAGACUAGCUGGAAGAGUCUGUCCUAAGGAGGACUCCCCUUCAUCCUCACCAUCAGCAGUGUCUUCCUUCCGGAGCUGCUGCUGCUCCUCCCUAGUCUGGCCUGAAAUUUCAAGGGCUAAUGGUGUGUGUUUCUGCAGUAAUUAGGGACCAUGCAGCAACCCAACACUCCGUUAAACAAAUAUGUAAGUCAUCCUUGUGGGGAAAGACUGAGGAAGAAGGCAGCUGGGACCCCUGCUGGUAGUGUCCUCUGCUGUGUGGGGGGGGGGGGCAUCUCUGUGAUCCUCCUCUUCUGUGUCUGGCCUUAGUGUUGGUCUUCUUCGAUUUUCCUUAAAAAGAAGAAACACGGGCAAAGAACAUGCAUCUCGCCACCCACUGGACAAGCUGAGGAACCUAAGUCUUUGCUUGAAAAGUUGUCACUGGUGGCUCUAAGCUGAGAAGUGCCAGGAUCUGGGUCCCCUACUCUGCACAGCAGUGUCAUGGAUAUAAAGCAUAUGGAGCUGUCUCCCCCCCCCUUUCUUUCACCCUUAUAAAUCAGCCAUAUAAAUCAUUCACAUUGUUUAAGGUACAUUGAUCAAUCUAAU